GUUCCAUGAAUAAGCAAGAAAUAACAAAUAAAACUGGAAAGAUAAGGAGAAGAUUAGCAUGGCCCCCUAAGCAAGGAUGACAUGCACACAUCCAGAAAUAACAAAUAAAACU
Nicotiana attenuata is the source of this 112-nucleotide non-coding RNA. NCBI's taxonomy places the organism in Eukaryota, Viridiplantae, Streptophyta, Magnoliopsida, Solanales, Solanaceae. The record is from Rfam.